Molecule: ribosomal RNA, 261 nt
Filed under: uncultured bacterium
Lineage: Bacteria
Description: partial 16S ribosomal RNA
Rfam family: Bacterial small subunit ribosomal RNA
Source: RNAcentral
GUCCACGCCCUAAACGAUGUCUACUAGUUGUCGGGUCUUAAUUGACUUGGUAACGCAGCUAACGCGUGAAGUAGACCGCCUGGGGAGUACGGUCGCAAGAUUAAACUCAAAGGAAUUGACGGGACCCGCACAAGCGGUGGAUGAUGUGGAUUAAUUCGAUGCAACGCGAAAACCUUACCUACCCUUGACAUGGAUGGAAUCUCCGAGAGAUUGGAGAGUGCCCGAAAGGGAACCAUUACACAGGUGCUGCAUGGCUGUCGU